Molecule: ribosomal RNA, 253 nt
Filed under: uncultured bacterium
Lineage: Bacteria
Description: partial 16S ribosomal RNA
Rfam family: Bacterial small subunit ribosomal RNA
Source: RNAcentral
GACGAGGGGUCCUAGCGUUGUUCGGAAUCAUUGGGCGUAAAGCGUGUGUAGGUGGCCAUUCAAGUCAGUUGUGAAAGCCCCGGGCUCAACCCGGGAAGUGCUUCUGAUACUGUUUGGCUUGAGUACUGGAGAGGAUAGUAGAAUUCCGAGUGUAGAGGUGAAAUUCGUAGAUAUUCGGAAGAACACCAGUGGCGAAGGCGACUUACUGGACACAUACUGACGCUGAGGUGCGAAAGCGUGGGGAGCAAACAGG